AAACGACGGCCAGUCGAUUCAGCCUUGGAUUCCGACUUUGAGCUUGCUCAAGAAGGACGCUGGCUACAGCUUAACACGUGCCCGUCGAGGGGCAGCGGGAUUGAAGCUUGCUUCAAUUGCCGGCGACCGGCGCACGGGUGGAGUAACGCGUAUCCCAACCUUCCGUACACUCAGGGAUAGCCUUUCGAAAGAAAGAUUAAUACCUGAUAGUAUCUUAAGCACACAUGUAAUUAAGAUUAAAGAUUUAUCGGUGUACGAUGGGGAUGCGUUCCAUUAGGUAGUAGGCGGGGUAACGGCCCACCUAGCCAACGAUGGAUAGGGGUUCUGAGAGGAAGGUCCCCCACAUUGGAACUGAGACACGGUCCAAACUCCUACGGGAGGCAGCAGUGAGGAAUAUUGGUCAAUGGACGAGAGUCUGAACCAGCCAAGUAGCGUGAAGGAUGAAGGUCCUACGGAUUGUAAACUUCUUUUAUAAGGGAAUAAACCCUCCCACGUGUGGGAGCUUGUAUGUACCUUAUGAAUGGGCAUCGGCUAACUCCGUGCCAGCAGCCGCGGUAAUACGGAGGAUGCGAGCGUUAUCCGGAUUUAUUGGGUUUAAAGGGAGCGCAGACGGGUCGUUAAGUCAGCUGUGAAAGUUUGGGGCUCAACCUUAAAAUUGCAGUUGAUACUGGCGUCCUUGAGUGCGGUUGAGGUGUGCGGAAUUCGUGGUGUAGCGGUGAAAUGCUUAGAUAUCACGAAGAACUCCGAUUGCGAAGGCAGCACACUAAUCCGUAACUGACGUUCAUGCUCGAAAGUGUGGGUAUCAAACAGGAUUAGAUACCCUGGUAGUCCACACGGUAAACGAUGGAUACUCGCUGUUGGCGAUAUACUGUCAGCGGCUUAGCGAAAGCGUUAAGUAUCCCACCAAGGGGAGCCACGUCAUAAACGUUUCACACACUGAAAACGACGGCCA
This 952-nucleotide ribosomal RNA is filed under the name uncultured bacterium. Its description in RNAcentral is "bacterial SSU rRNA". It matches the Rfam family "Bacterial small subunit ribosomal RNA". The record is from RNAcentral.